CCUACGGGUGGCUGCAGUGAGGAAUAUUGGUCAAUGGACGAGAGUCUGAACCAGCCAAGUAGCGUGAAGGAUGACUGCCCUAUGGGUUGUAAACUUCUUUUAUAUGGGAAUAAAAUGUUCCACGUGUGGGAUUUUGUAUGUACCAUAUGAAUAAGGAUCGGCUAACUCCGUGCCAGCAGCCGCGGUAAUACGGAGGAUCCGAGCGUUAUCCGGAUUUAUUGGGUGUAAAGGGAGCGUAGGUGGAUUGUUAAGUCAGUUGUGAAAGUUUGCGGCUCAACCGUAAAAUUGCAGUUGAAACUGGCAGUCUUGAGUACAGUAGAGGUGGGCGGAAGUCAUGGUGUAGCGGUGAAAUGCUUAGAUAUCACGAAGAACUCCGAUUGCGAAGGCAGUUCACUGGACUGCAACUGACACUGAGGCUCGAAAGUGUGGGUAUCAAACAGGAUUAGAUACCCCAGUAGUC
RNAcentral lists this ribosomal RNA (460 nucleotides) under uncultured bacterium. RNAcentral describes it as "partial 16S ribosomal RNA". It matches the Rfam family "Bacterial small subunit ribosomal RNA", at positions 338 to 795 of the family's 1533-position model. The record is from RNAcentral.